GCGGACGGGUGAGUAAUGCCUAGGAAAUUGCCCUGAUGUGGGGGAUAACCAUUGGAAACGAUGGCUAAUACCGCAUGAUGCCUACGGGCCAAAGAGGGGGACCUUCGGGCCUCUCGCGUCAGGAUAUGCCUAGGUGGGAUUAGCUAGUUGGUGAGGUAAGGGCUCACCAAGGCGACGAUCCCUAGCUGGUCUGAGAGGAUGAUCAGCCACACUGGAACUGAGACACGGUCCAGACUCCUACGGGAGGCAGCAGUGGGGAAUAUUGCACAAUGGGCGCAAGCCUGAUGCAGCCAUGCCGCGUGUAUGAAGAAGGCCUUCGGGUUGUAAAGUACUUUCAGUCGUGAGGAA
This 348-nucleotide ribosomal RNA is filed under the name marine sediment bacterium BB0608_AND_4.1_7S0. RNAcentral describes it as "bacterial SSU rRNA". It matches the Rfam family "Bacterial small subunit ribosomal RNA", at positions 98 to 449 of the family's 1533-position model. The record is from RNAcentral.